UACGAAGGGUGCUAGCGUUGUUCGGAAUCACUGGGCGUAAAGCGCGCGUAGGCGGCUUUUCAAGUCAGGGGUGAAAUGCCUGGGCUCAACCCAGGAACUGCCUUUGAAACUGUUAAGCUAGAGUGUUGGAGGGGAUGGCGGAAUUGCUAAUGUAGAGGUGAAAUUCGUAGAUAUUAGCAGGAACACCGGUGGCGAAGGCGGCCAUCUGGACAACAACUGACGCUGAGGAGCGAAAGCAUGGGGAGCGAACAGG
Molecule: ribosomal RNA, 253 nt
Filed under: uncultured bacterium
Lineage: Bacteria
Description: partial 16S ribosomal RNA
Rfam family: Bacterial small subunit ribosomal RNA
Source: RNAcentral